UCAGACGAUGCGUCAUGCAUAUCAAUAAGCGGAGGAAAAGAAACUAACAAGGAUUCCCUCAGUAACGGCGAGUGAAGCGGGAAGAGCUCAAAUUUGAAAUCUUAAAGGGUUUCCCUUUACGAAUUGUAGUUUAAAGAAGUGUUUUCUGUUGAGGUUUUGGUAAAAGUUCUUUGGAAUAGGACAUCAUAGAGGGUGAGAAUCCCGUAUUUGACCUUUACUUUCAACUUUGUGAUACACUUUCAAAGAGUCGGAUUGUUUGGGAAUGCAGUCCAAAAUGGGUGGUAAAUUUCAUCUAAAGCUAAAUAUUGGCGAGAGACCGAUAGCGAACAAGUACCGUGAGGGAAAGAUGAAAAGAACUUUGAAAGAGAGUUAAAUAGUACGUGAAAUUGUCAAAAGGGAAGCGUUUGACACCAGUGUUGUUUUCUCGAAAAUCAAUUAAAAAUGGCUCGAUUUUAUAUUGCUUGAGACCUUAAAAGCUCACUGUACAUUUUUCGUGUCUUUUUUAAUGCACUUUUCGUUUAACAAGUCAAUCAUCAGUUUCUUUUGUUGUAAAAGGGUCAUUGGAAGGUGGCUUUCUUUUCGGAGAAAGUGUUUAUAGCCUUUGGCCUCUGCAAUCGGAGAGACUGAGGUCUGCAGCGUAGACUCUUCGGGGAUUAGAUACAUUUGUGCUAAGUUAUAGCAUUUUAUAGACAACUUGUUGACUAUAAUUAGUCUUGUAGCUUACUCGCUUAUGCUAUUUUACCUACGCUUAGGAUGUUGACUGAUAUGUAGUCGUA
Molecule: ribosomal RNA, 776 nt
Filed under: uncultured Neocallimastigales
Lineage: Eukaryota; Fungi; Neocallimastigomycota; Neocallimastigomycetes; Neocallimastigales
Description: partial large subunit ribosomal RNA
Rfam family: Eukaryotic large subunit ribosomal RNA
Source: RNAcentral